Long non-coding RNA from Wyeomyia smithii (pitcher-plant mosquito), 382 nucleotides. RefSeq lists it as uncharacterized. Lineage: Eukaryota; Metazoa; Arthropoda; Insecta; Diptera; Culicidae. The transcript has 3 exons. The record is from RefSeq and is a predicted model, not a curated record.
UCUUUAAGUCGUUCGAGAUCGUAUUGUGUGCUGGGAUCGUCAUCGUUUUUGCCGCGGAGUCUUUCCAUUUCAUUAAUUGUUGAUCGGUGGCUGCUUAUGCGUUUUUUCAGUUGGGUUGUGGUUAACCCGACAUAGCUCGCUUCGCAAUCGUUGCAGGGAAUCCUGUAGGUCACGUUAUGUCGCAUCUCUGGAGAUUGACACAACAGUAGCUAGUAAAUAGGACAGGAAUGCUGAUGCCGAAGCUUGUAUGACAAAAACGAUUUAUGUUCUGAUUCCCUGAUGAAGGUGCAAUAUACACCGAAACGUUGGUGAAAGAGCGAUAUUAAUUCGUUUUAUUGCUGAAAGACUGCGAAGCCGAAAAACACCCCCUGAUAAAAUCCCU